UACGGAGGGAGCUAGCGUUGUUCGGAAUUACUGGGCGUAAAGCGCACGUAGGCGGCUUUGUAAGUCAGACGUGAAAUCCCCCGGCUUAACCUGGGAACUGCGUCUGAUACUGGGAGGCUUGAGUAUGGGAGAGGGAUGUAGAAUUCCAGGUGUAGCGGUGAAAUGCGUAGAUAUCGGGAGGAACACCAAUUGCGAAGGCAGCUCGCUGGGACGUUACUGACGCUGAGACGCGAAAGCGUGGGGAGCAAACAGG
This 253-nucleotide ribosomal RNA is filed under the name uncultured bacterium. RNAcentral describes it as "partial 16S ribosomal RNA". It matches the Rfam family "Bacterial small subunit ribosomal RNA", at positions 524 to 776 of the family's 1533-position model. The record is from RNAcentral.